Molecule: ribosomal RNA, 253 nt
Filed under: uncultured bacterium
Lineage: Bacteria
Description: partial 16S ribosomal RNA
Rfam family: Bacterial small subunit ribosomal RNA
Source: RNAcentral
GACAGAGGUCUCGAGCGUUAAUCGGAGUCACUGGGCUUAAAGGGUGCGUAGGCGGAUCCGCAAGUGCUUUGUGAAAUCCCAUGGCUUAACCAUGGAAUGGCUUGGCAUACUGCGGAUCUUGAGGUCGGUAGAGGCUGCUGGAACUCUAGGUGGAGCGGUGAAAUGCGUAGAUAUCUAGAGGAACGCCGAUGGUGAAGACAGGCAGCUGGGCCGAUUCUGACGCUGAGGCACGAAAGCGUGGGGAGCGAACGGG